AUUGAACGCUGGCGGCAGGCCUAACACAUGCAAGUCGAGCGAGCGGCGCACGGGUGAGUAAUGUAUGGGGCUCUGCCCGAUAGUGGGGGAUAACUACUGAAUACUGUGGCUAAUACCGCAUACUCUCGUUCGAACCCAUAUGGGAUUAGCUAGUAUGUGGGGUAAAGGCUCACCUAGGCGACGAUCUCUAGAUGGUCUGAGAGGAUGAUCAGCAACACUGGGACUGAGACACGGCCCAGACUCCUACGGGAGGCAGCAGUGGGGAAUAUUGCACAAUGGGCGCAAGCCUGAUGCAGCCAGGCCGCGUGUAUGAAGAAGGCCUUAGGGUUGUAAAGUACUUUCAGCGGGGAGGCGUUACCCGCAGAAGAAGCACCGGCUAACUCCGUGCCAGCAGCCGCGGUAAUAC
RNAcentral lists this ribosomal RNA (406 nucleotides) under uncultured bacterium. RNAcentral describes it as "partial 16S ribosomal RNA". It matches the Rfam family "Bacterial small subunit ribosomal RNA", at positions 30 to 526 of the family's 1533-position model. The record is from RNAcentral.